CCGAAAAUAGCUCAGUUGGUAGAGCGGGAGACUGUAGUUGUGAAGUUAACCUUCAAUAGUAAUCUCUAGGUCCCUGGUUCAAGUCCGGGUUUUCGGA
Molecule: transfer RNA, 97 nt
Filed under: Coemansia reversa NRRL 1564
Lineage: Eukaryota; Fungi; Kickxellomycota; Kickxellomycetes; Kickxellales; Kickxellaceae
Description: Coemansia reversa (strain ATCC 12441 / NRRL 1564) tRNA
Rfam family: tRNA
About the family: Transfer RNA (tRNA) molecules are approximately 80 nucleotides in length. Their secondary structure includes four short double-helical elements and three loops (D, anti-codon, and T loops). Further hydrogen bonds mediate the characteristic L-shaped molecular structure. tRNAs have two regions of fundamental functional importance: the anti-codon, which is responsible for specific mRNA codon recognition, and the 3' end, to which the tRNAs corresponding amino acid is attached (by aminoacyl-tRNA synthetases). tRNAs cope with the degeneracy of the genetic code in two manners: having more than one tRNA (with a specific anti-codon) for a particular amino acid; and 'wobble' base-pairing, i.e. permitting non-standard base-pairing at the 3rd anti-codon position.
Source: Rfam by way of RNAcentral